RNAcentral lists this ribosomal RNA (793 nucleotides) under uncultured bacterium. RNAcentral describes it as "bacterial SSU rRNA". It matches the Rfam family "Bacterial small subunit ribosomal RNA", at positions 123 to 918 of the family's 1533-position model. The record is from RNAcentral.
AACCUACCUUUUACAGGAGUAUAGCUCCCCGAAAGGGGAAUUAACCCUCCAUAAUAUCAUUGGAUGGCAUCAUUUGAUGAUUAAAACUGAGGUGGUAAAGGAUGGGCAUGCGUCUGAUUAGUUAGUUGGCAGUGUAACGGACUACCAAGACGAUGAUCAGUAGGGGACCUGAGAGGGUGAUCCCCCACACUGGCACUGAGAUACGGGCCAGACUCCUACGGGAGGCAGCAGUAGGGAAUAUUGGACAAUGGGUGAGAGCCUGAUCCAGCCAUGCCGCGUGCAGGAAGAGGGCGUUAUGCGUUGUAAACUGCUUUUGCCAGGGGAUAAAACGGUUCUGCGGAACUAAUUGAAGGUACCUGGUGAAUAAGCCACGGCUAACUACGUGCCAGCAGCCGCGGUAAUACGUAGGUGGCAAGCGUUGUCCGGAUUUAUUGGGUUUAAAGGGUGCGUAGGCGGCCCUGUAAGUCAGUGCUGAAAUAUCCCGGCUUAACCGGGAGGGUGGCAUUGAUACUGCAGGGCUUGAGUACAGAUGAGGUAGGCGGAAUUGACGGUGUAGCGGUGAAAUGCAUAGAUAUCGUCAAGAACACCGAUAGCGAAGGCAGCUUACCAAGCUGUAACUGACGCUGAGGCACGAAAGUGUGGGGAUCAAACAGGAUUAGAUACCCUGGUAGUCCACACUGUAAACGUUGAUGACUCGAUGUUGGCGAUAUACAGCCAGCGUCCAAGAGCAAUCGUUAAGUCAUCCACCUGGGGAGUACGCCGGCAACGGUGAAACUCAAAGGAAUUGACGGGG